This 949-nucleotide ribosomal RNA is filed under the name uncultured bacterium. Its description in RNAcentral is "bacterial SSU rRNA". It matches the Rfam family "Bacterial small subunit ribosomal RNA", at positions 590 to 1533 of the family's 1533-position model. The record is from RNAcentral.
GGGCGGGAAACCCCCGGGUUCAACCGGGGAGGGUUGUUGGGGCCGGUUCACUUGAGGCCCGGCAGGGGCAGGGGGAAUUUCCCGGGGUAUGGUGAAAUGCGUAGAGAUCGGGAGGAACAACCCGUGGGAAAGCCGCCUUGCUGGGCCGGAUCUGACGCUGAGCCGCGAAGGCGUGGGGAGCGAACGGGAUUAGAUACCCCGGUAGUCCACGCAGUAAACGAUGCCGACGAGGCGUGGGGGGAGUUGACCCCCUCCGUGCCGGAGCCAACGCGGUAAGUCGGCCGCCUGGGGAGUACGGCCGCAAGGCUAAAACUCAAAGGAAUUGACGGGGGCCCGCACAAGCGGCGGAGCGUGCGGUUUAAUUCGACGCAACGCGCAGAACUUUACCCGGGCUUGACAUGCGCCUGCAGAGCCCUGAAAGGGGUUGGCCUUCGAGGGUGGCGCACGGGUGCUGCAUGGCUGUCGUCAGCUCGUGUCGUGAGAUGUUGGGUUAAGUCCCGCAACGAGCGCAACCCCCGCGGCCAGUUGUGUGAGGUUUCUGGCCGGACUGCCGGUAGCAAGCCGGAGGAAGGUGGGGAUGAUGUCAAGUCAGCAUGGCCCUUACGUCCGGGGCGACACGCACGCUACAAUGGCCAGGACAGUGGGUUGCCAAGGCGCAAGCCGGAGCCAAUCCCCCAAACCUGGUCUCAGUUCGGAUUGCGGGCUGCAACUCGCCCGCAUGAAGGUGGAGUCGCUAGUAACCGCGGGUCAGCACUACCGCGGUGAAUACGUUCCCGGGCCUUGUACACACCGCCCGUCACGUCACGAAAGCCGGCAACACCUGAAGCCGGUGGGCCAACCCGCAAGGGAGGCAGCCGUCGAGGGUGGGGCGGGUGAUUGGGACGAAGUCGUAACAAGGUAGCCGUAGCGGAAGCUGCGGCUGGAUCACCUCCUUAAGGUUGGAUCCGGG